GCUUGUCUCAAAGAUUAAGCCAUGCAUGUCUAAGUAUAACUCUUUUACUUUGAAAACUGCGAACGGCUCAUUAUAUCAGUUAUAGUUUCUUUGAUAGUCCCUUACUACUUGGAUACCCGUAGUAAUUCUAGAGCUAAUACAUGCAUCAAUACCCAACUGUUCGCGGAAGGGUAGUAUUUAUUAGGUAUAGACCAACCCUCCUCGGAGGUGCUUUGGUGAUUCAUAAUAACUUCACGGAUCGCACGGCCUUGCGCCGGCGAUGGUUCAUUCAAAUUUCUUCCCUAUCAACUUUCGAUGUUUGGGUCUUGGCCAAACAUGGUUGCAACGGGUAACGGAGGGUUAGGGCUCGACCCCGGAGAAGGAGCCUGAGAAACGGCUACUACAUCCAAGGAAGGCAGCAGG
RNAcentral lists this ribosomal RNA (402 nucleotides) under uncultured Thalassiosiraceae. RNAcentral's name for it is "partial small subunit ribosomal RNA". It matches the Rfam family "Eukaryotic small subunit ribosomal RNA", at positions 30 to 432 of the family's 1831-position model. Lineage: Eukaryota; Bacillariophyta; Thalassiosirophyceae; Thalassiosirales; Thalassiosiraceae. The record is from RNAcentral.